AACAUUACUGCCAGGAACAAAGACAAAAACCCUGCCCUCACUCACACUCCAGCGGGGAGGGGAACAAAGAACACACAGGGAGCAGAACGAACAGGGCUGGGACUCACCCGCAGGUGCCCAAGGGGAGUGACUGCUCCCGAGAAGGAGGGCAGCCCUCGGGCCGCGGGUGUGGCUCCGUGCUGCGUUCACACGCGAGCAGGUCCGAGGAGGUCUGGGGUGGCGAGCGAGGGCCCGUGGGGAUGUGGGAGAAGGCUCCCAGCAGUGGGAACGGCAACUCGAAGGCCCACGGAAGGACAGCGUCUCGGGGCAGAGGGGCGGAGGCAAGCCCACGUGGUGGGACACAGCAGACGAGAAGAGCGAGAAGAGCGGUGGCAGGGUGUGCGGGCAGGGAGGCGGGUCGCGCGGGGCCAGGUCGGGACGCUGGUUUGCGCUGGGACCGUGGAGGUGAAGGGAAGCAGAGGGACCUGACUGCGUUUGGAAGGCUCACGCUGCUGCCGGGUUGAGAAGCUGACUGUCAGGGCACAGGGGAGCAGCACGGAGGCCUGAGGAAAGCUACUGCAUACACCAUCCACUGGGGAGGCUUCAGUCACCCGGGGAAGUGUGACAGGUCUGACUUUAGACAAACUUUGAAGACAGAGCCAGCAGAUUUUCUGACAGGUUGAAGGGGUAAGACAGAAAGAACUGCAAAGAAUUCCACCACCCCAGCCUGCUAACGUGAGGAGCAGGAGACCUCAGCAGAGGCGGAAUCCUGGGAGCAGCCGCUGGGAGAAGAGGCCUGGAGCUCAGUCCCAGCUGCCUGGGGGUGGAGGCGCCCAGCCCAGGGAGGGGUCUGCCGUGCAUGUGGAGGGAGGUCAGGCCCCGUGGCUCCGGCAUGUUGAAGACUUGCUCUGUCAGAUUCACUCCUGGUCUCAGAAGAGAGAUCAGACGCCUGGACUAAGGAGCUGUGUUACUUUUGGCAAGGCACCUCACCUUUCUCUGGGCCUGUUUCUUAAUUUCCAACUGGAGAUAAAAGUAGCAUCUAACUCCCAGGGAUGUCAAAAAGCCUGCAAAGCGCAACUCGGUGGGCGGCGGACAGGAUCCUACUGGGGAAGCUGGGGGUGGCCACUGGCGAUGAGCUUGCAGGCACCUAGGAUCCACCCCAUGCACACAGAGACCGAGAGAAGCUGGGACCAAAGCCUCCAUCCCUGUGCUCAUCAGGUAAGCCACUUCCGGUACAGCUCUCACACACCGCUUCCAACUCGGGCUGCGGGGAGAGGCUCCCAGAGGGUAGGGAAGGGCACCUGGGUUUUGAAGCCUGUCACACUUGGGCCAAAGGAGCCUCACACCAUUACCGACUGAUUAAACAAAAGGACAAGAGUUAAAACACAAGAAACGGCUAGAAAUGCUACACAGAGACGAGACAGCCCAAGUGAUUCCCAAUCUGAGCCUGCGAUCUCAUCUGUCUCUGCCUUGCAGGCCCCAACGCCCAGACGCUUCCCUCAAUGGUCUCCAUCUCACUGCUGGCGCCGUCACCCGCCAGCUACGCCAGGCCCAGGGUGCGGGUGCUGUGCUGAGUCCUUUCUCCUCUUCCGCCCCAUUCUCCAUUGGCACAGGUCCUCUGCCCUGGAAAGGGCCCUCAAAUGAGGCACUCGCCCUGCCAGCCUGCACCGCCAGCCACGGGGCUCAGUACCGCCUGUCUGCGGCAGCUGUGUCUCCCCUGGUUCCUCUUCCUGCUCCUCCACUCCACUCUCCAUGCAGCUGCAGCCCAAGGCGCCAACUACGUCAUGACCCCGGCCCCACUCCGUAAUGACACUGGUGUGAGCUCAAAUCCCCAAUCCCUGCAGCGUCUCCCCUGCUCCUCUUCCCCAGUCCGUAGGGCACCUUUCCUGCAACCUCUGCUCCCUCCAGCUGCAAAGGUAUUUUCAGGGUCUUUCUUGUCUCGGGGACUUCACAGACGUCACCUCUGCCUGGCAUUCUCUUCUCUCACUCCAACUGCUCCACUCAUCACUCCCUCCCCCUUGUCUGGAACAUCAUCGCCUUCUCUAGUCCUCCACAUUUGGAAAAAUGCCCCCAAGGUGCUCUGCACUUCCUAGUUCCUGCAAGAAUUCCAUGAUAAACCAUUUGAUGACUA
Chinchilla lanigera (long-tailed chinchilla) is the source of this 2110-nucleotide long non-coding RNA. RefSeq lists it as uncharacterized. The record is from RefSeq and is a predicted model, not a curated record. Lineage: Eukaryota; Metazoa; Chordata; Mammalia; Rodentia; Chinchillidae. The transcript has 3 exons.